GGACGGCAGCACAGAGAAGCUUGCUUCUUGGGUGGCGAGUGGCGAACGGGUGAGUAACAUAUCGGAACGUACCGAGUAAUGGGGGAUAACUAAUCGAAAGAUUAGCUAAUACCGCAUAUUCUCUGAGGAGGAAAGCAGGGGACCUUCGGGCCUUGCGUUAUUCGAGCGGCCGAUAUCUGAUUAGCUAGUUGGUGGGGUAAAGGCCUACCAAGGCGACGAUCAGUAGCGGGUCUGAGAGGAUGAUCCGCCACACUGGGACUGAGACACGGCCCAGACUCCUACGGGAGGCAGCAGUUGGGAAUUUUGGACAAUGGGCGCAAGCUGAUCCAGCCAUGCCGCGUGUCUGAAGAAGCCUUCGGGUUGUAAAGGACUUUUGUCAGGGAAGAAAAGGCUGUUGCUAAUAUCGACAGCUGAUGACGGUACCUGAAGAAUAAGCACCGGCUAACUACGUGCCAGCAGCCGCGGUAAUACGUAGGGUGCGAGCGUUAAUCGGAAUUACUGGGCGUAAAGCGAGCGCAGACGGUUACUUAAGCAGGAUGUGAAAUCCCCGGGCUCAACCUGGGAACUGCGUUCUGAACUGGGUGACUAGAGUGUGUCAGAGGGAGGUAGAAUUCCACGUGUAGCAGUGAAAUGCGUAGAGAUGUGGAGGAAUACCGAUGGCGAAGGCAGCCUCCUGGGAUAACACUGACGUUCAUGCUCGAAAGCGUGGGUAGCAAACAGGAUUAGAUACCCUGGUAGUCCACGCCCUAAACGAUGUCAAUUAGCUGUUGGGCAACUUGAUUGCUUAGUAGCGUAGUAACGCGUG
Molecule: ribosomal RNA, 805 nt
Filed under: uncultured Neisseria sp.
Lineage: Bacteria; Pseudomonadati; Pseudomonadota; Betaproteobacteria; Neisseriales; Neisseriaceae
Description: bacterial SSU rRNA
Rfam family: Bacterial small subunit ribosomal RNA
Source: RNAcentral